GAGGGUACACCUCAGUGGUAGAGCUCAUGCUUAGCAUGCAUGAGGUCCUGGGUUCGAUCCCCAGUACUGCCA
Molecule: transfer RNA, 72 nt
Filed under: Camelus bactrianus (Bactrian camel)
Lineage: Eukaryota; Metazoa; Chordata; Mammalia; Artiodactyla; Camelidae
Also listed under: 2 other names
Rfam family: tRNA
About the family: Transfer RNA (tRNA) molecules are approximately 80 nucleotides in length. Their secondary structure includes four short double-helical elements and three loops (D, anti-codon, and T loops).
Source: Rfam by way of RNAcentral